AUGGCCGCCGAUAUCCAGCGCACGCUGGAUGAGCACUUCGCUCCCAACAAGUCCUGCAUCUCUGGCGUUGCUUCCACUUCGGCACAUGGAGAUAAGAAGGGUGGAACUCCAGAGAACGGACCAAAAACAGAGAACGAUAAGAUCUUGAAGGUUUCAUGGGAAGGGGGUGCAGAUUACUACACUGCAGCAAAGUUGGACGAGAUUUUUAAACAAUUUGGCACGGUUGAAGACAUUGUGAUCAUGUUUAGCAAAUCAAAGAGUAAGGGUUCAGCACUUGUUGUCAUGGUUUCCAAAGAGGCAGCACGAUCUGCACUGAAGAACCAUUCUGUCUACAAUGUUUUCCCAAUCCCGUUAAGUGUUGCUCCGGUCCCAGCAAAGUGA
Molecule: ribosomal RNA, 381 nt
Filed under: Triticum aestivum (bread wheat)
Lineage: Eukaryota; Viridiplantae; Streptophyta; Magnoliopsida; Poales; Poaceae
Description: partial small subunit ribosomal RNA
Source: RNAcentral